Molecule: ribosomal RNA, 357 nt
Filed under: uncultured bacterium
Lineage: Bacteria
Description: partial 16S ribosomal RNA
Rfam family: Bacterial small subunit ribosomal RNA
Source: RNAcentral
CCUACGGGUGGCAGCAGUGGGGAAUAUUGCGCAAUGGGCGAAAGCCUGACGCAGCGACGCCGCGUGAGGGAUGAAGGUCCUCGGAUCGUAAACCUCUGUCAGCAGGGAAGAACGGUCACUGUGCUAUUCAGCAGUGAAUUUACGCUACCUGCAAAGGAAGCACCGGCUAACUCCGUGCCAGCAGCCGCGGGAAUACGGAGGGUGUGUGCGGUAAUCGGUAUUACUGGGCGGAAAGCGCUCGUAGGCGGUAUGUCAAGUCAAGGGUGAAAUCCCCGCGCUCAACGUGUGAACUGCCUUUGAAACUGGCAAACUGGAGUGUGUGAGAGGAUAGUGGAAUUCGAGGUGUAGGGGUGAAAU